CCUACGGGUGGCAGCAGUGAGGAAUAUUGGUCAAUGGCCGAGAGGCUGAACCAGCCAAGUCGCGUGAGGGAAGACGGCCCUACGGGUUGUAAACCUCUUUUGUCGGGGAGCAAAGCGAGUCACGUGUGACUCAUUGAGAGUACCCGAAGAAAAAGCAUCGGCUAACUCCGUGCCAGCAGCCGCGGUAAUACGGAGGAUGCGAGCGUUAUCCGGAUUUAUUGGGUUUAAAGGGUGCGCAGGCGGAGGUGCAAGUCAGCGGUCAAAUUGCGGGGCUCAACCCCGUACUGCCGUUGAAACUGCAUCCCUUGAGUGCGCGAGAAGUAUGCGGAAUGCGUGGUGUAGCGGUGAAAUGCAUAGAUAUCACGCAGAACUCCGAUUGCGAAGGCAGCUUACUAAACUGCCACUGACAUUGAUGCUCGAAAGUGUGGGUAUCAAACAGGAUUAGAUACCCUGGUAGUC
RNAcentral lists this ribosomal RNA (459 nucleotides) under uncultured bacterium. RNAcentral's name for it is "partial 16S ribosomal RNA". It matches the Rfam family "Bacterial small subunit ribosomal RNA", at positions 338 to 795 of the family's 1533-position model. The record is from RNAcentral.